UCUGAGCAAACAGUCUAACAGAAACCAUCUUCUCAAACAGAACAUGGUAAAGCUUCUUUUAACAAGAAACUAGAUACAUCGAUGGAUUAUUUGAAGCAACAUCUGUCCCCUUCCUUUCUCUGGAUGUCAUUUAAAUCAAGAAUUACAUCCAUGGGGAUUAGCAAAGGUCCUGAAGCGAUGUGAGAAAGUCAAAGAAAACAGUUUUGAAGCACAGCACUCAGAAACAAAGUAGACCAAAGGAAACUGAAGCUGCCCCGUGAUGACAAGGCCGUUUCCUUACUUCCUGCGAAGCAACACACGCUGACAAGAUGAGGAAGAACCAGCCUAAACAUCACUUACUGAAGCCUCCUUCUGUCCACCCAACUAUCAGUGUAACAUCCUGGUCCCUACACUCCUAACCUCCUGCUCUGCUUUUUUUCUAAGCCCCUAUUACCCACUAGUAUGUAACUUACCUAUUUAGUAUGCUAAUUAUUUAUUAUGUAACUCCUUUGAUAGCAUGUAAGUUCCUAAGAGCAAGGAUCUAUGCUGGGUUUUGUUUCUUUAACUGAUAAAUCGCGGCGCCUAGAACAGUUCCCGGAACACACAAAUGCUGCUCAUUAGAUAUCUGUUGAAUAAAGGGAUAAAUGAUACUA
Long non-coding RNA from Orcinus orca (killer whale), 632 nucleotides. RefSeq lists it as uncharacterized. Lineage: Eukaryota; Metazoa; Chordata; Mammalia; Artiodactyla; Delphinidae. The record is from RefSeq and is a predicted model, not a curated record. The transcript is spliced from 2 exons.